RNAcentral lists this transfer RNA (73 nucleotides) under Stegodyphus mimosarum. It matches the Rfam family "tRNA". Rfam says of the family: Transfer RNA (tRNA) molecules are approximately 80 nucleotides in length. Their secondary structure includes four short double-helical elements and three loops (D, anti-codon, and T loops). Further hydrogen bonds mediate the characteristic L-shaped molecular structure. tRNAs have two regions of fundamental functional importance: the anti-codon, which is responsible for specific mRNA codon recognition, and the 3' end, to which the tRNAs corresponding amino acid is attached (by aminoacyl-tRNA synthetases). tRNAs cope with the degeneracy of the genetic code in two manners: having more than one tRNA (with a specific anti-codon) for a particular amino acid; and 'wobble' base-pairing, i.e. permitting non-standard base-pairing at the 3rd anti-codon position. The record is from Rfam by way of RNAcentral. Lineage: Eukaryota; Metazoa; Arthropoda; Arachnida; Araneae; Eresidae.
GCCUUCGUGGUGUAGUAGUCAAGACUCUCGACGCGUAACCGAAAGGUCCGUGGUUCGACUCCCGGCGAAGGCG